CCACUUGUGAUUCGUUUGCUACUAAAUAUUUCCUUCAUCUAUGGGCUCAAAUACAGUUUUAAAGGCUGUUAUUUUCUGAGUAAGAUGCAACGCUGAAUCAUCCAUGGAAGAAAAUCUCUGAAGAAUCUGAAAUGAGGGAGGACGAGCGAUUUGCUCAACUUCUGCAUAUUCAGUUACUGUCUAACAAGGACCAUCAGGAGCUGACUGGGAAAGCAUGAGGAGAGCAAUGAGGAAGAGGCUGUUGUUGGAAAGGGAAGUUCCACUGCGGUAGCACCUGCUCUCCACUCUCAACAGCAGCUCCCUGGAUCUCUGGGAUGGCGGCAGCAGCAGUCCCACCAUUUCUCAGUGUGCUGAGCCAAGAAAAUACUUCAAACAGCGAACACGUCUUAUCAGUCAGAAGUAUUUCAGACAUCUUCACAAUGCUCUCUAGUUUUUGAAAGUCAAGCAGUGACUGCUCGUCGAGGUUGGAAGGGAUCUCUGGAGGUCGCCAGAUCCAAUCCCCUGCUCGGAGCGGGACUAAGGGACAGCGCGUUGCUCGGAGGGGCUGCUGGGCCCCAG
Cuculus canorus (common cuckoo) is the source of this 558-nucleotide long non-coding RNA. RefSeq lists it as uncharacterized. Lineage: Eukaryota; Metazoa; Chordata; Aves; Cuculiformes; Cuculidae. The transcript is spliced from 4 exons. The record is from RefSeq and is a predicted model, not a curated record.